Molecule: long non-coding RNA, 426 nt
Organism: Ictalurus punctatus (channel catfish)
Lineage: Eukaryota; Metazoa; Chordata; Actinopteri; Siluriformes; Ictaluridae
Exons: 3
Source: RefSeq, a predicted model, not a curated record
GUUUUUCUGAUUUUCAAACUUGGAAAUCUUUUUAGAGACACUGACAACUGGGUCACCAUGCACUUGAUGGAUUUAGAGGAAGAGCUAGACCAGGCAACCUAAUGCAGCCCUAAUUGAUUGAAGAAUUGAUUUUCUGUUGUUCCACUGGGGUUGUGGUGGAUCCAGAGCAUAUGGAAAGAGCAUAUGGAAACCCAGGAAGCGAGGGGAGAUAUGCGAUUCCAUUGUGUAGCCAAUUCACCAACCGGUGGAUGUUGUUGGGAGGUGGGUGGAUACUGGAUAACCUGGAAGAAGCCCAAGGGGACACAGGGAGUAACUCUGAUGUAUCAGAAUCAAACCACUGAACUGGGAGCUGUGAGGUGGCCACACGAUCCACUGCACCAACAUGCUUCUCAAACAUUAGUAUGCUACAUGGAAUAUGCUUAAUAA